GACGAACGCUGGCGGCGUGCUUAACACAUGCAAGUCGAGCGGUAAGGCCCUUUCGGGGGUACACGAGCGGCGAACGGGUGAGUAACACGUGGGUGACCUGCCCUCAGCUCUGGGAUAAGCCUGGGAAACCGGGUCUAAUACUGGAUAUGACUCCAUGACGCAUGUUGUGGGGUGGAAAGCCUUGUGCGGCUGAGGAUGGGCCCGCGGCCUAUCAGCUUGUUGGUGGGGUGANGGCCUACCAAGGCGACGACGGGUAGCCGGCCUGAGAGGGCGACCGGCCACACUGGGACUGAGACACGGCCCAGACUCCUACGGGAGGCGGCAGUGGGGAAUCUUGCGCAAUGGGCGAAAGCCUGACGCAGCGACGCCGCGUGAGGGAUGACGGCCUGUGUA
Molecule: ribosomal RNA, 393 nt
Filed under: uncultured bacterium
Lineage: Bacteria
Description: bacterial SSU rRNA
Rfam family: Bacterial small subunit ribosomal RNA
Source: RNAcentral